AACGCACGAGACCUGCGGACCUGCGGAAGGAUCAUUACCAAGAGAAAUCUUUCAACACUGAAAGAUCUUUUCCUUUGUGCUGGCUUUGACCGUAUGUAAUUUUGGGACUUUAAAAUGGUUCGCAAGGGCCGGUCCCAAAAACAAUAUAUCAUCCUUAUGAAAUUUUUUCUGAACAAUUAAACAAAUGAUUUUAAUAAUCUGUUUAAAACAACUUUCAACAACGGAUCUCUAGAUCGGAAG
RNAcentral lists this unclassified non-coding RNA (240 nucleotides) under soil metagenome. RNAcentral's name for it is "partial contains 5.8S ribosomal RNA, internal transcribed spacer 2, and large subunit ribosomal RNA". The record is from RNAcentral.